Non-coding RNA from Paragonimus heterotremus, 81 nucleotides. The record is from the annotation of a GenBank genome assembly. Lineage: Eukaryota; Metazoa; Platyhelminthes; Trematoda; Plagiorchiida; Troglotrematidae.
GGCUUCGUAGCUCAGCGAAUAAAGUGCUUGCCACGUUGAGGCAUUGUGUUUCUUUCGUUGGUUCGAAUCCAGCCGAAGCCC